This 73-nucleotide transfer RNA is filed under the name Haliotis rufescens (red abalone). RNAcentral describes it as "tRNA-Arg". It matches the Rfam family "tRNA". From Rfam's summary of the family: Transfer RNA (tRNA) molecules are approximately 80 nucleotides in length. Their secondary structure includes four short double-helical elements and three loops (D, anti-codon, and T loops). Further hydrogen bonds mediate the characteristic L-shaped molecular structure. tRNAs have two regions of fundamental functional importance: the anti-codon, which is responsible for specific mRNA codon recognition, and the 3' end, to which the tRNAs corresponding amino acid is attached (by aminoacyl-tRNA synthetases). tRNAs cope with the degeneracy of the genetic code in two manners: having more than one tRNA (with a specific anti-codon) for a particular amino acid; and 'wobble' base-pairing, i.e. permitting non-standard base-pairing at the 3rd anti-codon position. The record is from RNAcentral. Lineage: Eukaryota; Metazoa; Mollusca; Gastropoda; Lepetellida; Haliotidae.
GUCCCUGUAGCGCAGGGGAUAGCGCGCUGGACUUCUAAUCCUGAGGCCGUGGGUUCGAAUCCCACCAGGGAUG